GUAUUGUUUGGCUUGCUCGGUAUUGGAUUUGGCUUGUUCAAGGGUGAAUUGUGUUGUUAUGCAUGUGACCACGCCGCGCAGAUUGUCUUGUUAUGCCAGUGACCACUCCGGGUGGAUUGUGAUGAUAUGCGUAUGACCACGCCAGGCAGAUUGUUAGCAUAUGACCACACCGGGCAGAUCCAUCACAUUGAGCCUGUGAUCACACCGGGCGAAUUAUGAUAUUGAGCUUGUGACCACGCCGGGCUGGUAGCACGUUAAAUUGGUCGUGCUUGCGUGUGGAUAAGGAUCCAUCUCCCUAGGGUCACCCUCUCAUGUUUCUCUCUUGAUAGUGUACAUGCAGAUUUUGAGAGACCGACGGGUUUCUGGUUGAUGUGAGCUCUGGGAGAGCUGUUUACUGUAUUUGGAUCAGGUUGCAUGCCGCAACAUACCUUAUUGGCUUAUUGUUAUUGGAUCGGCUUGAGCGCCGUAACAGACUGAUAUUUGGUUAUUGCAUUUCAUCCUUACUUGUAAGUUUCUUGACUGUUUACCUAAUUUACUUGUAUAUCUUCCUUAUAUGCUGGAUUGUUGACUAAGCAAAACAUUUUAAACAAAGAAUUGUGAGCAUCAAAGUGGUUCUACC
Long non-coding RNA from Nicotiana tabacum (common tobacco), 619 nucleotides. RefSeq lists it as uncharacterized. NCBI's taxonomy places the organism in Eukaryota, Viridiplantae, Streptophyta, Magnoliopsida, Solanales, Solanaceae. The record is from RefSeq and is a predicted model, not a curated record.